This is a long non-coding RNA of Raphanus sativus (radish), 902 nucleotides long. RefSeq lists it as uncharacterized. NCBI's taxonomy places the organism in Eukaryota, Viridiplantae, Streptophyta, Magnoliopsida, Brassicales, Brassicaceae. The record is from RefSeq and is a predicted model, not a curated record. The transcript has 2 exons.
ACGAAUCUUCACCCACGUCCUUGGUAGCACUACAGCUUAUGUGAAAAUGGUGAAGAAGCGAUGUUCUGAGCAAAAGAUGAAAUCACCACCACUUCUCAAACCUGACUCUGAAAGGAAAACCACAGAAUCUGAUGGGUUCCUCUAGGUCACUGUCCCACAAGAAACGACAAGGUAUCAGUUACAAUGAAACUUAAAACAAUACGUUAAGACUUACUAUACUAACUCAUAUGUUCUUGCCUAAACCUACAUUAGCUGAAGAUGAGGAGACCCAUCCAUUGUUGUUUAUUACAUAUGGUUUGUUCAUGUAAUGUAUACAAUUCAUAUUCUAAUACAGCUUUUUUCAUGGAUAUGAGGCUUGGCGUUAAGAAGCAAGUUCUGCAAAGUGAGCUCUGCAUCAAAGAAAGCUUAUGUGUGCGGAAAAGAAAAUUUCAACAUACCAACAAGGCGAUGGCACAUACUAAACCGAUAGAACACUGGUUUUUAUCCCUUCCGAACACCUUGCUGUUGAAUACAGGCGUUGCAAGUGUCCGUCAACCUCUGCCCAUGGUUCCAUCAGCACAGAGCAGAGUCUCCGACUAGACAAGAAGCACCAGCCAUGGAUCGAUGAGAGGUACAAAAAUACAUUGCCACCAAACUGAAGACCACUUGCGACUCUGAAGAUUAAAUAGUUAUGCAUCUACGCCCUGCCAACAAUGUAGAAUCUUUUCCUUCAGAAACUCAUGAAAAAACUUAUAUAACCCGAAUGAAACAUAACACAUCUAUCACAUUAUCCCAUAAGAAAUCAUGUAAGUUGUUCGCCCAGCAAGACCCCACUUUCCAAAUACAACUUCAACAUGUUGCUGUUUUAUGUAAGAACGGAGAGGCAAUGUGAAAUCACUUAUUCAUUGACUAUCAUUUCACUU